GGGAGGCGAGCGAUCGCGGCGCCGCGAGCGGGUUGCGGGCAGCGGGGGACGGCAAACUUUGCUGUUCGCCGCGCUUCCCCGGCCCGGCCCCUUCUCCCAUCGCCAACGUCGCCACCCCACUUUCCUCCAACCCCGCACACCUCUCCCCACCCACCCCACCUCCCGUCGCUCCUCCUCGCCGCCUCGACUCUGCUCCGGGGAAAACUUCAAAGCGCCGGAUCGCAGGCUCCCUGCUUACUCCCCGGCCGGGGAUUUCAGACUAGACGCUUGAAGAAAAGCUGCCAUCCAAGAAGACGACAUGCUUUCAGCAACCCCCCUGUAUGGGAACGUUCACAGCUGGAUGAACAGCGAGAGGGUCCGCAUGUGUGGGAUCAGCGACGACAGGAAAAUUCCUGUAAACGAUGGUGACGCUUCAAAGGCCAGACUGGAACUAAGGGAAGAAAAUCCCUUGAAUCACAACGUGGUGGACGCGACCACGGCCCAUCGGAUCGAUGGCCUGGCAGCGCUGAGCAUGGACCGCACCGGCCUGAUCCGGGAAGGGCUGCGUGUCCCCGGAAACAUCGUCUAUUCUAGCUUGUGUGGACUGGGCUCAGAGAAAGGGCGGGAGGCUGCCACAACCAUAGGUGGUCUGGGGUUUUCUUCCGAAAGAAACCCAGAGAUGCAGUUCAAACCGAAUACACCCGAGACGGUGGAGGCCUCCGCUGUCUCCGGAAAGCCCCCAAAUGGCUUCAGUGCUAUAUACAAAACGCCACCCGGAAUACAAAAAAGUGCUGUCCCCACGGCAGAAACACUGGGCUUGGACAGACCUGCUAGCGACAAACAGAGCCCGCUAAACAUCAAUGGUGCUAGUUACCUGCGGCUGCCCUGGGUCAAUCCUUACAUGGAGGGGGCCACGCCAGCCAUCUACCCUUUCCUCGACUCGCCAAAUAAGUAUUCCCUGAACAUGUACAAGGCCUUGCUACCUCAGCAGUCCUACAGCCUGGCCCAGCCGCUGUAUUCUCCGGUCUGUACCAACGGGGAGCGAUUUCUCUACCUGCCGCCACCUCACUACGUCAGUCCCCACAUCCCGUCGUCCCUGGCCUCGCCCAUGAGACUCUCGACGCCUUCGGCCUCACCAGCCAUCCCGCCUCUGGUCCACUGCGCAGACAAAAGCCUGCCCUGGAAGAUGGGCGUCAGUCCUGGGAACCCAGUCGAUUCCCACUCGUAUCCCCACAUCCAGAACAGUAAGCAGCCUAGGGUGCCAUCUGCCAAGGCGGUCACCAGCGGCCUGCCGGGGGACACGGCUCUCCUGUUGCCCCCCUCGCCUCGGCCUUCACCCCGCGUCCACCUCCCCUCCCAGCCCGCUGCGGACACCUACUCCGAGUUCCAUAAGCACUAUGCCAGGAUCUCCACGUCGCCCUCGGUCACCCUGUCCAAGCCAUACAUGACGGUCAGCAGCGAGUUCCCCGCGGCCAGGCUCUGCAGCAGCAAGUAUCCUAAGGCCCCAGAAGGAGCCGAAAGCACCCAGCCAGCUCCCGGGCACACCCGCAAAGCGGCAGGUCAGGACAGAAAAGAUGGCAGCUCACCUCCUCUCUUGGAGAAGCAGACGGUUACCAAAGACGUCACCGAUAAGCCACUAGACUUGUCCUCUAAAGUGGUGGAUGUAGAUGCUUCCAAAGCCGACCACAUGAAGAAGAUGGCUCCCACGGUCCUGGUUCACAGCAGAGCUGGGAGCGGCCUCGUGCUCUCCGGAAGUGAGAUUCCGAAAGAAACUCUAUCUCCUCCAGGAAACGGCUGUGCUAUCUAUAGAUCUGAGAUCAUUAGCACGGCUCCCUCGUCCUGGGUGGUGCCCGGGCCAAGUCCUAACGAAGAGAACAAUGGCAAAGGCCUGCCGCUGAAAAACAAGGCCUUGGACUGGGCCAUCCCGCAGCAGCGCAGUUCUUCGUGUCCCCGCAUGGGCGCCGCCGACGCCGUGGUCACUAACGUUUCGGGGUCGGUGUCGAGCGCCGGCCGCCCGGCCUCUGCGUCGCCGGCCCCGAAUGCCACCGCCGAGGGCAGCAAGACCAGCAGGAGCUCCGUGGAUACCACGCCAUCCGUCAUCCAGCACGUGGGCCAGCCCCCGACCACACCUGCCAAGCACAGCGGCGGCACCGGCAGCAAGGGCGCCAAAGUCAGCAACCCAGAGACGAGCUUCAAAGCGAACGAGAACGGCCUCCCGCCGAGCUCAAUAUUUCUCUCACCAAACGAGGCGUUCAGGUCCCCACCCAUCCCCUACCCCAGGAGUUACCUGCCUUACCCAGCGCCCGAGGGCAUUGCCAUAAGCCCCCUCUCCUUACACGGCAAAGGCCCUGUCUACCCUCACCCGGUGUUGUUGCCCAACGGCAGUCUGUUUCCUGGGCACCUCGCCCCGAAGCCGGGACUGCCCUAUGGGCUACCCACGGGCAGGCCAGAGUUCGUGACCUACCAGGACGCGCUGGGGUUGGGCAUGGUGCAUCCCAUGUUGAUACCUCACACGCCCAUCGAGAUCACUAAAGAGGAGAAACCGGAGAGGAGGUCCCGGUCCCACGAAAGGACCCGCUACGAGGACCCAAGCCUCCGGAACCGGUUUUCUGAGAUGCUGGAGGCUGGCAACACCAAGUUACAUCCAGAAGUCCCCGCGGACAAGAACCUAAAGCCCAGCCCCAGCUGGAAUCAAGGGAAGACCGUAGUCAAGAGUGACAAGCUCGUCUAUGUAGACCUCCUCCGGGAAGAGCCAGACGCGAAAACCGACGCUAACGCGUCCAAACCCGGCUUCACAGCUGAGAGUGUCGGCCAGAGUGCCGAGCCCACCAAACCCCCGCCUGACCCGGCCCUGCAGCCACACCGGGAUUUCAUUGCCCUGAGAGAGGAGUUGGGGCGCAUCAGUGACUUCCACGAAGCCUAUGCUUUCAAACAGGCUCCGGGCCAGCCAGUCUUCGGCUUAAGCAAGGAGAAUGUUCCGGCGGGAACCAACAAGGAGAACCUGGCGAUGCCGGUCUCGACUUCAUUCCUGGAGCCGACCCUGGGGAGCGACGGCUCUGCGGUCACUUUCGGGAAAACCCAAGAGGAUCCCAAACCGUUUUGCGUGGGCAGUGCCCCACCGAGUGUGGACGUCACCCCCACCUAUACCAAAGACGGAGCUGACGAGGCAGAAUCAACCGAUGGCAAAGUUCUGAAACCGAAGCCAUCGAAGCUGGCAAAGAGAAUCGCAAACUCCGCUGGUUACGUGGGUGACCGGUUCAAGUGUGUCACUACCGAACUGUACGCAGACUCCAGUCAGCUCAGCCGGGAGCAGCGGGCAUUGCAGAUGGAAGGAUUACAAGAGGACAGUAUUUUAUGUCUACCCGCUGCUUACUGUGAGCGUGCAAUGAUGCGCUUCUCAGAGUUGGAGAUGAAAGAGCGAGAAGGUGGCCACCCCACGACCAAAGACUCCGAGGUGUGCAAAUUCAGCCCCGCUGACUGGGAAAGGCUGAAAGGAAGUCAGGACAAAAAGCCAAAGUCGGUCGCCCUGGAGGAGGCCAUUGCCGACCAGAACGACAGUGAGAGAUGCGAGUAUAGUGCUGGAAACAAACACGACCCCUUCGAAGCCCCAGAGGACAGAGAUCUUCCCGGGGAGAAGUACUUCAUGGACACGGAGCCUGCCAGCGAGCCCCCCGCCGACCAGGCGGCCCCGGACGUGCCACGCAGCCCCACCCUCCGGCUGGACAGAAAGCGCAAGGUCUCUGGCGACAGCAACCACACCGAGACCACUGUGGAAGAGCUCCCGGAGGACUCUCUGCUGAAAGCCAAGCGGAGACGGGUCUCCAAAGAUGACUGGCCUGAGAGGGAAAUGACAAACAGUUCCUCUAACCACUUAGAAGAGCCACAUUGUAGUGAGCUGACCAAGCUGAAGGUGUGCAUUGAAUUAACAGGGCUCCAUCCCAAAAAGCAACGCCACUUGCUGCACCUUAGAGAACGGUGGGAGCAGCAGGUGUCGGCAGCAGAGAGCAAACCUGGCCGGCAGGGCAGGAAGGAAGUGACCCAGGCGGUUCAGCCUGCGGUCACCCCCCAGGGCAAUAGCAUCUCCGAAGAGAAACCUGGCAGGAAAAGGGCAGAGGCCAAAAGCAACAGAAGCUGGUUGGAGGAGUCAGUUAAACACACUGGCAAUGAACAAGCCUUGCCUGUGUUCUCCGGCUCUCCGCCCGUGAAGGGCCUUUCAUCCACCAAUGCAAGCGGCCGAAAGCAGACUCAGCCAGGCUGCACGCCAGCCUCAGGACUGCCUACCAAACAUGACCAAGUUAAAGAAAGCCAGAAGACAGAUGUGGUGUGCAUGGACGUCGAAGAGGACUGCCAGGCCACGUCCCUGCUGCAGAAAUACACCGACAACAGCGAGAAGCCAUCCGGGAAGCGACUGUGCAAAACCAAGCAUCUGAUCCCUCAGGAGCCCAGGCGGGGCUUGCCGCUGCCAGGGGACUACUACGUGGACAAUGCCGAUGGCAAGGUGACCGUCCGGAGAUUUCGAAAGCGGCCUGAGCCCAGUUCCGACUAUGAUCUUUCGCCGGCCAAGCAGGACCAGAAGCCCUUGGACCGCUUGCAGCAACUGUUACCACCUUCCCAGGCCUCGCAGCUGACAUGCUCGAGCUCCCCUCCAGAGACCACCCAGUCCCGCCCAAUGCCACCGGAAGCGCGGAGACUCAUCGUCAAUAAGAACGCGGGCGAGACCCUCCUACAGCGGGCCGCCCGGCUUGGCUACGAGGAAGUGGUCUUGUACUGCCUGGAGAACAAGAUUUGUGAUGUGAACCACCGCGACAACGCGGGUUACUGUGCCCUGCACGAGGCUUGUGCAAGGGGUUGGCUCAACAUUGUACGACACCUCCUUGAAUAUGGCGCCGAUGUCAACUGCAGUGCCCAGGAUGGAACCAGGCCUCUCCACGAUGCUGUCGAGAAUGAUCAUCUCGAAAUUGUCCGCUUGCUCCUCUCCUAUGGUGCUGAUCCCACCUUGGCUACAUACUCAGGUAGAACCAUCAUGAAAAUGACCCACAGUGAACUUCUGGAGAAGUUCUUAACAGACUAUUUAAACGACCUGCAGGUUCCUGAUGACUAUGACCCCAGUGGCUCUUGGGAGUUCUACGGCAGCUCUGUGUGUGAACCAGAUGAUGAAAGUGGUUACGAUGUUUUAGCAAAUCCCCCAGGACCGGAGGACCAGGAUGACAGCGACGAGGCCUAUGGUGACCUAUUCGAAUUUGAAUUUUCCGAAAGCCCCCUUUUGCCAUGUUACAACGUCCAGGUGUCCGUCGCUCAGGGGCCUCGGAACUGGCUGUUGCUGUCAGACACGCUCAAGAAAUUGAAAAUGUCCUCCCGCAUAUUCCGCUGCAAUUUCCCAAAUGUAGAAAUUGUCACCAUUGCGGAGGCCGAGUUCUACCGGCAAGUGUCAGCAAGUCUCUUAUUCUCUUGCCCCAAAGACCUGGAGUCCUUUAAUCCGGAAAGUAAGGAGCUCUUAGAUCUGGUGGAGUUCACGAACGAGCUUCAGACUCUGCUGGGCUCAUCCAUGGAGUGGCUCCACCCCAGCGACAUGGACUCAGACGACUACUGAGGCUAGAAACCUGAACACCACUAGACUCCCUUGCCGCUAGAAUUCUGAAUGGUCGGUUUGGAAGGCAGAGCGAGGUAGAGGCAUCUUCCUGCUCUACUGGCUGCUGGAAGUCAUCUGACACAACAGGAGAGAAAGACAAAGUAAAUAGCAAGACCUGAAGAAAUGAUCGAAACGAAAGAAUACCAGUGAGCCUGAACUUCUAUAGGUAACGAGGAGCUCCUAAGAGCCCAAAUAAAAGCAACGAAAAACUCCAAGUUACUUCGCUGUUUGUAUUUGUGCUGGCAGUACGGGGGGGGCCCGAGACCAACUGAGGUUCUAUCCUGGAUGAAGGUCAUUUUAUUAAUAAAGCCAAGAAAAUAAGUGAGAGCCACAGGUUUAAGGGGUGCAGGGGAAGUAAGUAAUGGGCUCGGUUUAGGAGACAUUUCAGGUUGUGGUUUAUGCGGUUGGAGGAGGUGUUGUUGAGUUAGAACAUUUAUUGUAAGAACCAUCAGGGUGUUAGAAAACGUGGACAGAGAAUAACUAGGGUAUCUGACCCAGGGUAUAGAUGAGCUGCCCAUGGCCUAGAGAAGUUUGGAUGUCAAGGAAUUCCCCAUGGGUAAAGAGGAGGUACCAUAGGUGUAGACGCCCCCGCCCCCUGCCCCCCCCUCCAAUGGGAGCAGAGGGAGUGCACCCGCUGGGCGUAGAGGAGCCCUCCACAGUGAAGAUAGGGUAUAAAUGAGGUCAUACUGGCUGCAGCGGGCUCCCAGGUAUAGAUUCGCUCAUACUGCUUACCAAGGUGGAGAGUAGAAGUAUGAUUCUUCUGAAGGUGCCUCUAAAGGUCAAGGUCAUUCCCUUUGUCUGGUCCUACCUCCUGGCUACAAUGUGGUUGGGACCGCUAUAGCCACAGCACCCACCCUGGACCAUGAGGCAUGGAAGUCAAGCACUCAGUGUAUUUGGAGGAGCCUGGGUACCCGAGGACCUAGUGGCACAGAGCCACCAUACCAGCCCUGCCCUGCUCUGCCUGCCUUUUUAUGUUUGAGAAAAAUAAACAGUUCUGUUGAA
Lagenorhynchus albirostris (white-beaked dolphin) is the source of this 6610-nucleotide RNA transcript. It is a transcript of the gene named BCL6 corepressor, with no coding region annotated. The record is from RefSeq and is a predicted model, not a curated record. The transcript is spliced from 17 exons. Lineage: Eukaryota; Metazoa; Chordata; Mammalia; Artiodactyla; Delphinidae.